RNAcentral lists this long non-coding RNA (425 nucleotides) under Solanum tuberosum (potato). RNAcentral describes it as "long non-coding RNA (STUB_LNC008700)". The record is from RNAcentral. Lineage: Eukaryota; Viridiplantae; Streptophyta; Magnoliopsida; Solanales; Solanaceae.
CCUUCUUAGUGCUCCUUGAAUUAUAUUGAGCAUGUUAUUGUUGUUGUUGUUUGCAUGGUUGAUUAUAGAGUGUUUGAAUUGAUGUUACACUCUUAGCACUGUAAAAGUAACCUCAUUCGAGGACGAAUGUUCCCAAGGGGGAGAUAUUGUAACAUCCGACAAUUUGAAAUAGCUAAGAAGAGGCUUAGAAUUUGAAAUUUUUCAUUUUUGGAAAGGAUUUGAAAAAUCUGGAAAAUUGGCUAAGUGUGGAAAUCAGUGGUUUUUGGCCAACUUUGAGCAGUCAUAACUUCCAGCUCAGGAUGAGUUAGGAGUAGUUCCAGUUAUGGUUGUGAAGCUUGUGGAAUGAUCUUUCCAACGCCGCCGAGUUUGCUCAAUUCCGAGUUCGUAUGAGCGAGUUAUGGCCCUUUGAAAGUUGGGCAGUUGAC